RNAcentral lists this ribosomal RNA (445 nucleotides) under uncultured organism. RNAcentral describes it as "partial 16S ribosomal RNA". It matches the Rfam family "Bacterial small subunit ribosomal RNA", at positions 335 to 797 of the family's 1533-position model. The record is from RNAcentral.
ACUCCUACGGGAGGCAGCAGUGGGGAAUAUUGGACAAUGGGCGCAAGCCUGAUCCAGCCAUGCCGCGUGAGUGAUGAAGGCCCUAGGGUUGUAAAGCUCUUUCACCGGUGAAGAUAAUGACGGUAACCGGAGAAGAAGCCCCGGCUAACUUCGUGCCAGCAGCCGCGGUAAUACGAAGGGGGCUAGCGUUGUUCGGAUUUACUGGGCGUAAAGCGCACGUAGGCGGACUAUUAAGUCAGGGGUGAAAUCCCGGGGCUCAACCCCGGAACUGCCUUUGAUACUGGUAGUCUUGAGUUCGAGAGAGGUGAGUGGAAUUCCGGGUGUAGAGGUGAAAUUCGUAGAUAUUCGGAGGAACACCAGUGGCGAAGGCGGCUCACUGGCUCGAUACUGACGCUGAGGUGCGAAAGCGUGGGGAGCAAACAGGAUUAGAAACCCUAGUAGUCCC